This 492-nucleotide ribosomal RNA is filed under the name uncultured bacterium. RNAcentral's name for it is "partial 16S ribosomal RNA". It matches the Rfam family "Bacterial small subunit ribosomal RNA", at positions 29 to 507 of the family's 1533-position model. The record is from RNAcentral.
AUUGAACGCUGGCGGCAUGCUUUACACAUGCAAGUCGAACGGUAACAGGCCUUCGGGUGCUGACGAGUGGCGAACGGGUGAGUAAUGCAUCGGAACGUACCCAGAGGUGGGGGAUAACGCAGCGAAAGCUGUGCUAAUACCGCAUGUGAUCUGAGGAUGAAAGCGGGGGACCGAGCAGCAAUGUUUGGCCUCGCGCCUUUGGAGCGGCCGAUGUCGGAUUAGCUAGUUGGUGGGGUAAAGGCCUACCAAGGCGACGAUCCGUAGCUGGUCUGAGAGGACGACCAGCCACACUGGGACUGAGACACGGCCCAGACUCCUACGAGAGGCAGCAGUGGGGAAUUGUGGACAAUGGGCGCAAGCCUGAUCCAGCAAUGCCGCGUGCGGGAAGAAGGCCUUCGGGUUGUAAACCGCUUUUGGCAGGAACGAAACGGUGUCCGCUAAUACCGGGCGCUAAUGACGGUACCUGCAGAAUAAGCACCGGCUAACUACGUG